This is a transfer RNA of Piromyces finnis, 72 nucleotides long. It matches the Rfam family "tRNA". Rfam says of the family: Transfer RNA (tRNA) molecules are approximately 80 nucleotides in length. Their secondary structure includes four short double-helical elements and three loops (D, anti-codon, and T loops). Lineage: Eukaryota; Fungi; Neocallimastigomycota; Neocallimastigomycetes; Neocallimastigales; Neocallimastigaceae. The record is from Rfam.
GGGGUUGUAACUCAGUGGUAGAGUGUUCGCUUCGCAUGCGAAAAGCCGCGGGUUCGAUUCCCGCUAACUCCA